RNAcentral lists this transfer-messenger RNA (394 nucleotides) under Anaerolineae. RNAcentral's name for it is "f UBA1429 X1 Standard tmRNA". It matches the Rfam family "transfer-messenger RNA". From Rfam's summary of the family: Bacterial tmRNA, also known as 10Sa RNA or SsrA, is named for its dual tRNA and mRNA-like properties. Its role is to liberate the mRNA from a stalled ribosome. Lineage: Bacteria; Bacillati; Chloroflexota. RNAcentral also lists the same sequence under 1 other name. The record is from RNAcentral.
GGGGAUGACUGGCUUCGACAGGGAGGGCUGGUCAGCGAUUGCAGGCCGAGGUGCCUCACCCUCGUUAAUCCGGGGCAAACACUUAAGUGCCAAAAACACUUAUGCACCGGCUUAUGCCCUAGCCGCCUAAUCGCGGUAUAGACAAAGCCACUGAUCGCUAUACGCGAUCACGUCCGUCCUCUCGCUUCGCCCGAGAGCAGGGGCACGGGCGACGACUAAUUCGGGAUGCGGUCAGCGUGACGCCGAUGGCGCUGGCUUAAGAAAUAUCGGCUGGUGGGCGAUGGACUCUGUCGGCCGAGGCCAAGCCCGCGAGAAACCCAACAACCGACUAUGCCUGUAGCAUAUCUCUGGUCGAACUUUUUGGACGCGGGUUCGAUUCCCGCCAUCUCCACCA